ACGCCCCGCGCCCCGCGCCCCGGGCCGUGCAGCCAGCCCUUACCUUGCAGCGCCCGGCUGUCUCCCGAUCGCUAAAGCUACUUAUCCCGGGAAAGCUCGCGCGGGACCCGGGAACGAACCCACAGACAAAAAGUGAAACUUCGGCAGGGCUGGAGCGGCUGCUGGUUGGUGCCUUUCCCCCUCCUUCCUCCCCACCGUCCCCACCCCCUCCCCUUGGUCUCCCGUGCGGUGCCCUGAGCGCUGGAGGCUGACGUCAGGGGCCUGAAUUCCUGACUUUGCCUGCACGCAUUUGUCCAUGUAAGGUAUGGGAAGGCGUGUGCCCGCGAAGCCGCCGCGCAGAGCUCGCCUGGCGGGGGAGGGGAAACCCGCAGCCGGCAGUGGCUUUGCCAAAAGGUGGGCGCACUGAGGGCAUUGCAUUUCCUGGGAGGAAGAGGAGGAGACGCGGGAAUGCAGGGAGCUUGCAAAGGAGGAAGGGAAAGAGGGAGAUGUGGAGACUUUGCCCCAGCUAGAGGAAGAGGAAGGAGACGUAGGAGGAAGCGGCCGCGUCAGGGGGCUCCUGGAAAAUGGAAAAGCCUGCGUCUACUAUUAAGGCGUCAAAUUAGGGCACUGAGCUUGAGUGGAAGAGAUCCAGCCAUGAAAUCCCCUUCCAAGAUUUUCCUCGUGAGCCCCGCCCUGGAUUCCCAGCAAGACUCAAAACUUACAAGGUGUCAGAGCUGGCAAAGACCAACUUCCAACCCGUCCGCUUGGCACGUGAGGAAACUGAAGCUCUCGGAAGAGAAAUGACUUGUACAGGGUCGUCACUCAGCAGAUCGAGGAGCGGGCCCAGGCGCUCUGCCUCCCACUUGGGUUCCCGCCUCCAGGAAGGGCCCUGGCUCCCUUUUAGCCCUGAGCCUUGAAGCAGGUUAGAUGCCCGCGAGCUGUGCGGACCACCCAGUGAUUUCUACUGCUCUUGGCCCAGAGCCAGUUCCUGGAAGGUCCUGGUUGACAGCGAGCCCUGAAUAUCAAUGACAAUCAGUUGCUUCAGGGCAACUUCCUCUGUCCUGUGCUCAAAUAAAUGAAUCCCUGGAGUUUAACGUUUACUUCUGAGCCCCGCCCAGAAAGCUUGCUCUGUGCUUAUAGCUUCAAAAAAGUCUGCGAACGAGAUGAACUGGUUUGAAUACAGACAAGCCUGUCAUUGGAAGUUUUGAGUUGGAUUUUUCUUUCCCCUCUGACAUCUGUAAGGGUGAACGACGAUGAGAACCACCACUUACUGUGUUAGGGGAUUAUGACGUGCAGCAGCCAUGGCCAGGAAAGCACUCCAUACCCUGAGACUUCCUUUCCUUGCACUUCUCUCCUAUUAAUAUCUAAAGUAAUCCCUCACGUUAGCACAUAAUGAAAGCAGUCUCUCACCCGGCUAUUGCAUCUUCAGGUGAGUUAGAUAGGACAGAGCGUAGUCCCCCCUUUACACUUCAGACAAAAACUUAAGAAACGUUACUCGCCCAACACAAAACAACUGACUGACCAAGCACCUGUCUUCCCCUCCUCCCAUCCAGGUCUCCUGACUAAUCCCUUCAUCUUUCCAUACCUGGCCCUGACCUCUAGCAGGACCUAAUUCCAUUCAUAACUGUUGAGAGUACACCAUGAGCUACUGAUUCAUAAAAACUCCAAAAAGUGGUUCUUCUGAGGAUGGACUUUAGUGGGAUUCUUUUGACCAGGAAUUAAGGAAAUAAUGUAAAAACACAUGUUAUUGGAUUUAUUAAGCACCUUCCUUGUGCUUAAUAAGUGUUUGAAUUCAGACAUUUCAGGGGUAAGACUACUUAACCUCUGUGUUCCUCUCAACUAUCUAAUGUACACAUACAAAAAUAUGAACAUGGCUGGGCGCGGUGGCUUACACCUGUAAUUCCAGCACUUUGGGACGCCGAGGCGGGCAAAUCACCUGAGGUCAGGAGCUCGAGCCAGCCUGGCCAACAUGGCAAAACCCCGUCUCUACCAAAAAUACAAAAAACUAGCCGGGCGUGGUGGCGAGCGCCUGUAAUCCCAGGUAUUCCGGAAGCUGAGGCAGGAGAAUUGCUUGAACCCGGGAGGCAAAGGUUUUAGUGAGCCGAGAUUGCGCCACUGCACUCCAGCCUGGGGGACAGAGCAAGACUGUUGUCAAAAAAAAAAAAAAAUAUAUAUAUAUAUAUAUAUAUAAAUAUAUACACACACACAUAUAUAUACACAUAUAUAUAUAUGAAGGCAGUAACAGAGAGAUAAGGUCGAGAAUAACCACCCAUUCCACAGACUAAUAAAGAAUUUAUCUCUUUGCAACUAACAUAGUUUGAAAUGGGAGAUACGGGCUCUUGGAGAGAUUUUUUUCUGGGGUUCUGAAAAGCUCAGAUCCUAUCAAAACACAAUCCACUCACUCAAACAUUUCAGCAUACUCACAUUCUGAGUACUACUGUUUAGUAUGAAAAGAAUUCCAAUGUUACAUGAAGUAAAAAUGGAUUAUCUCAAUCCUCAUGGAAUAUAACGGGACUUGACCAGCAUUUCCUUUUUUUUUUUCCUUCAGUAACUCACUUAUAAGGAAUAAUAGGGUCCUAAUGAGGAUUAAGAUUUAAUAAGGUGUAAUUAGAGUUGUUCAUUUCUUCCAUCAUAUACAUUAUAAGAGUACUGUGCUGGAUCCAGAAAUGCUACUAAUUAUGUCGAAACUGUUGUAUGGGUGUGUUGGGGAAGUCACUGUGUUUCUCCUCCUGAAAUGUUUAUGAAUUGCUCAGGUGAGCAUGGUGAGCAUGGUGUUAGCAUGAACAUCAUAUAAAGUUAACUACAAAAGA
RNAcentral lists this non-coding RNA (2789 nucleotides) under Pan troglodytes (chimpanzee). The record is from RNAcentral. Lineage: Eukaryota; Metazoa; Chordata; Mammalia; Primates; Hominidae.